AUUUUUUACAUCAGGGUGGCUAGAAGCUGAACAUAUUCUUCUGUAUGCUUGAUAGUUAUCUUUAAAUGGCUUUGUUUGUCAGAUACAUGAUCAUAUCAUAAACCUCUUUACAAGCCAUGAUGCAGAUUUGGGUAACGUAACCCUAACAUUUGUGCCAGAAGACUGCUUGUGCCUAGUUAGUCUUUCAGACUGUUCUUGGUAGUGCACAUCUGCUUCUGAAAACAGUAUUACAAAAUGGUUACCUCUGUCUCAUCAGCCAGAAAACUUAAAGACAUACGCACAUAGGUAACUAUAGGAAGACGUGUCUCCUUAGUGUCUCAGGACCCUUGUGUAUCUAUGAGUAAAAUAAAUUAAAUCAAAAUAUUAAGGUAUUUACAAAAAAAAAAAAAAAAAAAAAAGACAGGAAGCCUUAUACACUGAUUCAGUUUCUGUGUGAUUCAAUGAUUCCUAGAAACUUUAGGAAGCUCAACACAGAAAUGUUAAUAAAGGGAGGGUGGUGGCAGAAGCUGAAGGCUUCCUUAUAACCUCCCAAGACACAGCAUUUCUUAGGAUCUAGUCCAGUAUUUCUGGCUUUUAAAAAUCGUACACAGAAAUUCAUUUUGACAACCCUCACAGAUUGGCCUUGGUUAUUCUUGAAAUAACAUACUUCUCUUGUAUAACCUACAGGCAGCUAAAAACUAGCUACCUAGUUUAUUUACAAGAAAAUACGGUGUGAUGUAAGAUAUAAGGCUUUGUGAGGUAAUAGAUUUCUUUUGAAAUCUUCUAUUACUUCUUUUGUUCCCUGGGGAAAACUAUUAUCGUUGUCAGCUGCUGCUUCAAAAAUGAAAAUAGGUCUCUUUCUGUUGGGACCUGAGGGCACUAAAGGAGAUCAAGGGUCCUGACCGGUUUCACCUGAGGCUUCCUCUCACCCCCUGCCAUGGGCCUUGGAGCUCCAUUUUGACUCAGCCUGGAGCAUUUCAGACCUUUUCUGAACUAAGUUGUAGGAGCGAAGGUCUCCAGCGCAGGCAGAUCCUUGCCUAUGCCUGGCCGUGGGCCUUACUGAUCCUUAUCAGCAUCCCUGCUUCCUGGCCUGGUUUUGGACCGCCACCACGGGCCUACCUAAUGGUUACCGUCCUGUGUCUGACUCUGGUUGCUAUUGUGAGCAAAAUGAGAAGCAUAAAAAAAGAUGGUAAGUCAAUCUGACUGUUGAUUUUUUUUUUUCCCUCUUUUUAAUCAGUUCAAAUGUUAAGUAAAAAUAAAGAAGAUAGCCUGGAUUCUUUGCUCA
RNAcentral lists this long non-coding RNA (1264 nucleotides) under Anas platyrhynchos platyrhynchos (common mallard). RNAcentral's name for it is "lncRNA (ENSAPLG00000019851.1)". Lineage: Eukaryota; Metazoa; Chordata; Aves; Anseriformes; Anatidae. The record is from RNAcentral.